RNAcentral lists this unclassified non-coding RNA (1945 nucleotides) under Drosophila ananassae. Its description in RNAcentral is "GF16583". The record is from RNAcentral. Lineage: Eukaryota; Metazoa; Arthropoda; Insecta; Diptera; Drosophilidae.
CUCAGUGGAGCGUCUUCCGCGUUUGUGGCUGCGUCGCUUAAUUGGCCCCAAAGUAUCUCAAGUGUGUGAUUGUGAAAGUUCCUGCUACAAAAAUGUACGUGCGACGUGCUUGGCUCUUGGCCUGUUUGCUGUGCCUUCAUCCCUAUGCCCCCACGUUGGCGGAAGAGGAGGACUCUAAUCCGCUGCUGGACAUGGCUUCCAUGUUCUUCCAGGAGGCUCUGUCCAAUCAGAAUGGUGGCGGCAACAACGGUGGCGGCGGCGGUGGGGCAGGAGCUGGCCUGGCGGGCGUGGCCUCGCUGUUGGGCACUUUUAUGCAGGCCAACGGCAAGGGCGGAGCUGGAGGCGGCGGAGCUAUGCAGAUCCUUUCCGGCAUCGGCAGUCUUCUGGCCAACAAUGCCCGUGGUGGUGGCGGCCAGGGCGGUGGCUUCGACCCCUCUAUCAUCGGCAAUGUCCUGGAAAUGUUCACCCAGGGUGAUGAGGAGGAAUCCACUCCCAACCACAACCAGAAGCGAAGCAAUGGUGGCGGAUCGGAGUCUGGAAUCGGUCUGGAUACCAUCCUCCAGGUGGCUUCCGCUUUCAUGAACACUCAGGGAAAUGACAAGGCUACCCAUAAUCACCAAAAGCGAUCCGCUGGCGAGGAACCCGAGACCGACAACGGACUGAUGAACCUGCUCCCGUUGGUGAUGCAGGCGGUUAGCUCCUUCGCCGGUCCCGAGGGACAGAGCACCCAGGAGAAGCACAAGAGUCAUGCCUGGGUUCUGCCCCCAUUCCUGGAACACAUCCACGUGCUGUGGGAUCACUUCUCCAACUCGGAACUGGCGGAUGCCCUGUACGAGAAAUCCGGAGUCAACAAGAUAAUGAAGGGCUUCAAGGGCAGUGAUGGCAAACUGGACUAUGACAAGCUCUUCGAAUCGCUGAACAACCAAUCCUUCCGCCGCCGAUGGAUCAAGUCAGCCACACUCUACCUGGCCGACUGGGCCAGCUAUCUGGCCAAUCCCGAUGUCUAUCUCAGAUACUUCCAGACGGCACAGAUCAUGUUUAACGGCCUACUGAAGUCUCAAGGUUACCCGAAGCAGACGCACUUCGAUCCCGCCCGUCCUGGUGAGACGAUCUCCAAUCUAUUGGACCACGUGGCGAAGCAUCAUCUGAACGUGAAGAUCGACUCCCGGCAGUAUGUGAAGCCAGCGGUGGGCUAUGCCAAGGAGCUCCUCAAACUGGGCCAGGCCCGCGGUCUGUUGCAGUUCAAUGCCACCGAGAUCAGCGACAAGCUAACGGAUACGCUCAACCUGGAGGUUAUUGAACCGGUGCUAAAAGUCCAUCGCGCCUACAGAUACAUCUCGAAGACGCCGCAAUGCGAUCGUUAUGUGCUCUGCCAGCUGAAUGCAGUGGCUCUUGACCAGCAACAGAAACUCCAACAGCAGCAGAAGAGUCAACAUCGGCAGGCACAGACAUCGGCGUCCGGUUUGAUUGCCGGAGUUAGUCCGAAAAUUGUUAAGAUCGGCAGCAUGGGUGCUGCUAUAUUCAUUAGCACGGAAACCGGUACGCCGUUCUGGACGCUAUUCGGUGUGAUCAAUGCGCCAUACAAUUGCGAGGCCAAAUAUCCAGUCGAUUGCAAUGGCUUCCACGAAGGCGAGGCCAAGGUGACCACGGAGUACAUCCACAAUGAGUUGUAGACACUGUCGCCUUGGCUCCAGGCGGAGAUCGGGAUACGAUCGAUAGGGAGGAUUCUCAUUAAGACGACAUAGUAGCUGUAAUUGAGAUUUUAUGGAUUUUUUCUGGGUCUGGAUCUUAAGACAAUUUUCGGAAGACUUGUCAGAUUAAUUUCAACUAAUUUGGCUAGAUUUGAAGUCUAAAAUCAAGUUCACCAUAAUUUUCAAAACAACCACCAUUAUGAACUGAUGACUUUUACCUCCAAAGUCAACGAACCAUGAGAGAAAAUCUUUCA